Non-coding RNA from Taeniopygia guttata (zebra finch), 19875 nucleotides. The record is from RefSeq and is a predicted model, not a curated record. Lineage: Eukaryota; Metazoa; Chordata; Aves; Passeriformes; Estrildidae.
GUCGGCGGGCGGAGCGGCGCUGAGGGCGAUGAUGGCGGCCGGGACGGGCAAGUCCCGCCGGCGGCGCGCAGGAAAUAAGCAUUCAGCUGCUCAGAAAAAUGAAGAUGCUGCUCAAAGGAAAGCAGCUCUGGAGGCUGCACUGAGAAAGAAGAUUGAAUGUGAGAAAAAAGCAUUGUCUAUUGUUGAGCAGCUCCUGGAAGAGGACAUUACUGAAGAGUUCCUUCUAAAUUGUGGAAAAAGUAUUACUCCAUCUCACUAUAAAGAUGUUGUUGAUGAGCGAUCUAUCAUCAAACUGUGUGGUUAUCCUCUAUGUCAGAAGAGACUGGAAAAUGUGCCAAAGCAGAAGUACAGAAUUUCAACAAAAACGAACAGAGUUUAUGAUAUCACUGAAAGAAAGUGCUUUUGCAGCAACUUUUGCUAUAAAGCAUCUAAAUAUUUUGAAGCUCAAAUUUCCAAAAGUCCAGUGUGGAUGAGAGAAGAAGAAAAACCACCAGACAUAGAGCUGCUGAAGGAGGGACGAAGUGGACAGUCUGGAGAAGAGGUGAAACUACGUGAUGAAGUGAUUAAAGCAUCUGACAUUGAAAAUCCUAGGAUAUCUUCAGAUCCAUGUGAAUCUGGUUCUCAUGACACAGCCAGUGACAGCAGUACUGAUACUGAGCAAGGAUUUAUUUCUUCUGUCCUACCAGGAAGUCAGUCAAGUUCAGCCAAUUUUGCACAGCAAUUGCACAGAAAAAGCAUCCUCAAAAAGAAGCAUGCUCAGAAAGUCCAUACCAGCUCUAAAACUGAAGAUGCAGAUGUAGUAGAAGCCACUGAACAGCUGUCUCAUUGUAAAUUAGACACUCAGGAAGAAAGACAUGCUUUCUCUGUUCAUGAUGAAGUAACUGCACCACCUUCAGACAAUACUGCUCCUGGGAAAUCAAGUGCUUCAGAAAUCUUUGAAAAUACAUGUGGAUCAGAGAUAGUUUUUCUAGGUGUGAGCAAAAGAGGAGCAGAACAUCUUAAAAGAACACUAGCUAAGUCAAUGGAACAUAAAAACCCUGAACUGAGGCAUCCAGUUAAUUCCAAAGGCAGUUUACUAGAAGUGCUUAGGCAAACACUUAUGGAAUGGAGAACUGAGGAAACUUUAAAAUUUCUCUAUGGCCCAAACUAUACUUCUUUGUGCUCAGCAGAGUGCAUAGCAUCUGUCAACCAGGAGACUGAAGAACUUGAUGAGGAUGACUUAGAUACAGCUGAUGAUCUCAACACUGUUGGUGUAGAGGAGUCUGAAAACAGUUUGAACUACUCUUUACCUUUCACAAGCUCAGGUGGAAUAGUUAAGCCUCUGCCUAGUUACGAAAAGUUAAAAGAAGAAACAGAGUUCCUAGAACUCCGAGUAAAAGAGUUCUAUAAAGGAAGGUGCAUCUUGGCUGAAGAGGCAGCGACACAAGCGCAAGCAGGGGAACAUCCAAGCAAAGACAAAGAUGAUCAGCAGGAAGAUCUCACCUUCCCACUUGUUGAUUCAAAUGCACAAAUGCAGAUUAGGAAGCGAAUUGUCCUUGAAAAACUGAGAAAAGCAUUAUCUGCAGUUUUGGGCCCUCUUCAGAUUGCUUCAAGUGAUGUUUACACAGAGCUAAAAAAUCUUGUCAAAACUUUCCGGUUAACAAACAGAAAUAUUAUUCACAAAAUGCCUGAAUGGACUCUCAUUGCUAUUGUUCUGUUAUCUGUAUUGUCACAAACAAGUCCACUUUUCAAGAAUACUCAGACAAGCCCAAUGUACACACAGUUCCUGACCACAUUACUGGAAGAACUGCAUUUCAAAAAUGAAGAUCUGGAAAGUUUAACAAGAAUAUUUAGAAUGAACUGACAACUUGAAUGAAUAACAUGAUCAUCCUAGCAUUUCCUACUACCUGAAAUGGUUGCACAGAGAACAAAAGAACACCUUCAGUUGUUUGAGCUCUUUAAAAUGAAAAAUGAAAUUUCAUAUGAAUUGUAGUUCUUGCAUUUCUGCUUUUUCAUUUCCUUCCUAUGGGUAAGAAUUUUGUAGUCUUGUGAAGAAGCUGACUAACCACAGUUGUUCAAGGUAUGAAGACAAGUUAAAAUACGGAUCAUCUGAAAAGUGUUCAAAAGCAGUAGAAAGGAAUUUGGAUUGGUUUGGUUUUUCUUGAUUUGGAAACUUUCAGUCAAUGUUUGUCUGCAGGGAUCAGGGAAAGACGGGGGGGGGGAAAAAGUGUGUGAGCCUCUGAUGGUAAGAGCCGUGCUGCUGACAUUUUUCCAGUUUCCCUCAUGCAUGUAGCAGGAAUCUUUAAGAAUGAUGACAACAGUACACAAAUGUGUCUGAUUCAAAGCCUGUUUGUCUUGCUACUUCUAAGAAAAGGGGUGGUCUUUGAACUUGUGUAAAAGUUAUUUUUAAACAGACUCUAGGUGUUACUAAUUUGGACUUUUAAAAUAGAUUUUAAUAACUAAAAUUUUUUUGCUUUCAGUAGUCAUUUCAUUUCAAAGAGUUGUGUUAUUUAGGCUGUGUUUGGAAUAGCUUCUGUCACUAAUGGAUCAUAAAUUGCAUUUUAAAACUAGUCCUAGUAGUUUUAGAUUACUAGACUCACUAGUAAUUCUUAAUGAUUCCAUAAUAUGUUUUAUUUCUAGUUCUCAGAUCAUAGGACACUGUAUUUUGAGAGACUUGAGAAGAAAGUUGUAACUGACAGUGCUUAGUCUGCAGCAAAUGCCAGCACUAGUUAAGGCUGAGACAAGCCUUACCAGGACUGCUGCACAUUCACUCAGUUUGAAAAACCAAAGUUUAUUCCUUUGGUUUGCUUCUGUAAUUGGACACCAGAAAGGAACUUGAAUAGUUCACUGCUGUGUAGUUCCUUCAUGAUAAUCAGAAUAAACAUGUAGAUUACCCCCGACACAUAGAAGCUCAUGCAGCUUUGCCAUGGAAGCUUCACUGCGCAGUAGACUUUAUUUAGGCGAUGCUUGACUUUUCCAAACUUACAUUGUAAUGGGAAGUUACGUUCAGUGUAAGUUGUAAAAGCAACAAUUUAGAACUAGAAGAACCUUUAAUGCAGAGUUACAGCUAUGCAUUUUUCUAAGUAUGCAGUAGGGGGGAAAAUGCCCAUUACGAUCAGAGUGUGUCUGAUACAAAAUUUGUAAGAAUUACUGGAUAGACAUUACAUUGGUUUUGUACCAUGAUGGAAAAAACUUACUUGAUACAUAUGGAAAGAUGGGUCAAGACCUCACCAAAAGAUAAACUUCUGUAGAAGAUUGGGUAAUAGGUAUGAUACUCUGAGCACAACUUAAACCUUGAAUUUAUAUCUAUUCACUUCUGAUUUUUGGAAGUUGACUGAAUUUGUAUUUUCAGCUAGCAGAUUCUGAGCAAGCCUGUUCCAUGCAUGUUUACCUUAGGGCACGAAGAUUACCUCACAACAGUUCUGCCAUACAGAGUACACCUAGAAGGCAUUGCAGAUGUACAUCAUACCAGGAAUGUGACUGUGUUUCAUCAGGUUUGAUGGCUCUCAUUUGGAAAGUUUUUACAUUUCCUGUCAGUUUAGUGGUGUGAUUUUUUUUUUUUUUUUUGGUACUUAUUUUUAGGCUUGGGGUUCACCACCUACUGUGUAGGAAAUGUAUGAUCGUGUAAUAAGAAUGAAUAGGUUGCAGGCUCAAAGACCAUUUUAUCAGGGUUCACUAUAACUGCUUUUACUGUCUGCCUCAGCAGCUCAAAAAAGUAAGCUUUCAGGAUUUAUGCAUCUCUUCUUUCACUGCUUUGUAGUAAGCUCCCUCAUUCUUUUCCUUGCCCUACAAGAACAAAAUAACAUUUCUCCAUCCAUGAGGCCAGAAGAAGAUUCUGUAGUAUGCUGGGAACACCCUAAAGAGAUAUUCUUCACUUCCUUGUGAUGAUUUCAUCUCCGUUAGACAUCUGUAGCACACAUGUAAAUAAAUGCAGAAAGUAUACAUAUGUACCCAAUACUUUUGAAUGAGAGAGUCUAUAGACUCAUCCCAAAAGGAUCUUUCAAUACUGCCAGCCUUAACUGGUGUAUAAAAAUCACAACUCAAAUACCAAAAAUUCAAUUCAUUUAUGUAGUUUUCUUAUGAGCAUGCUUUGUAACAGCCUAACUGCUUAGAAAUGGUCAAAUCUAGAUAUCUUUUUUUAUCCUAAAGCAAAUUUCUGUCACAAGUAUCUGUCCUUCAGAAGAUGUCACUCUUUCUUAACUCAGCUGGUUUUUGAUGUUGUUCUUCCCCUUCUCAUUGUGCUUACGUUCGCAGACAGAUUGUUUCCUUGUGGCCUUGUUUCUGUGCUUACUGAUUUUCCUUCUGUGUAAAUUAAACAGAUGAGAGCAGUUGACAUGUAGGUCAGUAGUGGUUUCAGCCUUAUCUCAGAAUACACUAAAUUGUAAUGACUGACUUCUAAGCUGCAGAUGUGAAGCGACAUCAUGGAUCUGGGGUUUAGGGUAAAUGGGACAGAAGCCUCUAUUUCUGAACAGCUCUGUCGAAGGGGCAUAAACUUGGUAAAGCCAUUAGCACCUUAGAGGACAAAGAUCAUAAAGUCUCAGAAGUCCACUGCCAUAACCCUGUAAAGGAUCCAGCACUGUCUGGCCAUGGACCAGUAGCAGGGCAAUUAGAGUUUCUUUUAAUAGCAGGGAGGCGGGAAGGAAACCAAACUUAUAUGUUGAUUAUUUUUUCCUGACAUAUAUAAUUGAUUUAGUAAAGAAUAAAAGAACAGCUUAGUUUAAAGCUUGCUUCAUGCUGUUACAGCUGUUCCACCUCAAAGGAGGAAUGUGUGACACAUACCUACCUGCAUGUCACAGAAUGGAUUUCUUACCAAGUUUUCCAUAGCUGUAAUGAAAUAAUCUCAGGAAGAGAACAAGCACAUACACAGAGUCACAUUUUCUUAACAUUAUUCAAAGCAGUCUUUGUGUUGGCCAAAGUGGCUGAUGGAAAGACUUUUGUGUCUAUUUUCACACCAAAGUUCAGUUCACAGCCUGGUAAAUACUCUCAGUGUAAGCACUGCACUCUUUAAUACUAAAUUUCCUAGCAUAGAGCCUUUCACUGCUGCCAUUUGAUUAUUUUUGCCCAUUGACCAUGCUUACUUAUUUUUCUUGGAUUUUGGAGAGAAAAAGAGGAGUCCAAGUGAUUCAUUUAUGUUCACCAUUUCAGGAAAGUAGAAAAGUCAUAAUGUAACCCAUACACUUUCAGUUUUUUGAAGCGAUUACCUUGAAUCUGUGUAAAGGUUGCAAAUCAAGCUAGAUAUGAUAAUGCAAAUUCCUACAUUAAAACAAGCAGAAGAGAGCCUGAUUUAUUUAAUUGAAAACUAUCAAAACAAAAAAGUUCCUCAGCAUAACUGACAGGGCUGUGCUGCUGUCUAAACCCAGGGCUGGAAAUUUAGAUCUACCCUGUCAUUCACAGGGAGAUGCAGGGAGCGACAAGGUGCUGGUACAUGCAUGAUAUGUGUCCUGGCCUCACAGGCUGUGUCCAUACAACACAUACAAGAGUCACCUGUAUUUUCACUCUUCAGUCUCAGUGAGUAGCUUCAAAGUGAGACAUCUGUUGUGGUUUUAGGGGAAAAUAACGGUUUUGUGAAUCUUGAUGUCUACACUUCUCCCCCUAUUUUGAGAUAACCUGGACUCUACAAAGUGCAAGAGGGGAUGAGCAGCUCAGCUGGACAUGUCUCUUGUAACUUUCAACUCUUCUAGAAAAAAGGACUAGCACAUCAAAGAGAAGAAAAAGGAAGAGAGAAGGGGAAAGCAGUAUUCAUACCAUCUAAAUUUAGGCAUCCAAACUUAGGUACCUGCCUGUCCUCAUUUGCUUCAGAGUGAAGUGAUGCUCUUAAAUUUAGGGUCUCCAGAUCUUACCUUACUGCAUUUAUGAAAUUGAUGGUGUUAAUUCCUUGGCUCCUAUUCCAUCAUGGAGGAAAGAAACAGAAAAGUCAGCAGAAAAGAAACGCUGACACAGUACACUGGCUCUCCCUGGAGUAAUUUGUAGUAGAGUGUGGCACAAAACUGAAUGGGGACCUGCCCCUGCACAGUGGGGAGUUUCUAAGCGAUCUGAUCCUAUUGUUCACUUAUUUUGAUGGCUACUACUUCACACAAUCUUUUGUUAACUUAUAAGAGUUAACACCAAAAGAAUUCAAGUGAGUGCCAGUCUUUAGGGAAAGAAGAAUAAUGCCCCUAUGUUGAAAUUAGCCUACACUCUAGUUCAAGAGUUUGCCUCUAAGUUCUCCAUACUUAUUUCAUACUUAUUUCCAUGUUUAUUUCUGCAAUUGCAUGUGAACACACAGUACUGUGGGUGGGGUUUAGCUUGAUCUCACUGGGACAGCAGGUAAUGCUGAACUGUCAUUUCCAGUGGGCAUUAAAUAUUGAAAACAUAGACUCAGCCUCUCCUUUUGGCAAGUCUUAAGUUUCCAUUAGAAGCAGAUGGUAUACAAGGCAGGGCUAGGCACCUAAGUAUAAAGACCUCUUGUUUCUCAGCUGUAUAUCUCUACCACCUGACAGCCUCUGAUUAGAGUCAAAGGAAGUGGGUGUGUCUUCCAUUAGCAAAGACGGAAAGUAAUAUUGGUGAAGACUUUUCCUCUCGUGAGUUUUCUUUUUGUGACGCUUCAUCUUAGAAGCACUUCUCUGCAGAGUGGAUAGUACUUUGGGAGAUGGGCUGCCUGAAAGAUGCUGUAGAACGUGAGCUGUGGCAUUUGUGGUGCUACACAGGAUUUGGUGAGAUGGGGGGGGAUGUGUGUGGGAAACACGUAUCUUCAAGGGGCUUUCAUUUAGCACUCUGGUUUCAAAAAGCAAGGGAAAACAGAUGAGCCUGUGAGCAAUAUAUGGACAUGUGUGAUAAAUUCAUUCCCCCUGAGUUGCUUAUAGCUGUAGAGUAGAUCAAAGUGCAAGCUGGAGUUCUGAAGAAAAUAGAUAAACUUUGCUAUGAGAAUUCAAUGUGUAGAUGCCUAGACUUGGUAAGGCUAAUCAGUCAGAACUGCAAGUGUAAGUGUGGCCCCUAUAUGCUGCAACUGCCCCCUGUUUGUAGGCUUACUGUGCUCUCUUGCAGUUGCCUCAAGACAAGAGCUCCAAAGAGCCCCUCUCCAACAACAGGCUAGAGCACAACCACAGGUUCUCAGACAGUUUCCUCUUGCCACUCAGCAAAGUCCCUGCUUGGAAGUCAGUCCCCAGGACACUGUAGUAGGCAGUACUUUAAAGGCAAACUCUUUGGUACAUUUUUGCACUCUGUGAUUACCUGUGGGAGCUGCAUGCAAGGAUCAGAGCACAAAGCCACUGGGGCUACUGGCUGGUACAUCCUGCAUCAUCAAAUCAAUGCUACUUCUGGCACUUCUUACCUUCUUAAAUUUCAAGGUGUAUGUAGCUGAAUUGAACACUUAGUGGGACAGCAGCAGCUUCUUGGGGAGUCCUACAGUUAGGUUAGAAUUAGUCAUCACUACAGAGAGCUUGAAGGACUUUGGAAACAGCUUUAAUAAGCUGCAAACAUUAGAUCAGGAUUUACAUCAUAAAUCUUGCCUUUUUGUUUUACACAAAUAGGAGUGUCUACAAAUCAGGUUAAUAUAAUUUAACAGUACAGCAGUUAAGUAACAAAAAGGACCAUAAUUAGUAGUAUUAUCUAAGAAGCCACAGCAAUCCUGCUUACAACUGUCAGCUAAGAUCUGACUCAUCUAAGAUAUUUUAUAGCAACCAUAUGUUAGGCAUGUCUAUCUCACCUAUUAUGCAGAAAAAUGAUAACGUUUCCUAAUCAGGAUUUGCCACUAAGUAGGAUUUUCCAUAAACACCUCAGUACUGCAAGUGCUAGAGUCAGGAGGAAAACCUUUUGCAGACACUUCUGAUUUGUUAAUUUAAUAAACAGAAUAAAUGGUUGCAAAUCUGUGGCUAGUACUGAUUUAGCAAGGCUGGCUCUAGUUCCAAGUGUAGGUACAUUACUUUGGCAGUUGAAAUGGUAAAUAUCACUUUAGCACAGAAUUUGUGAAGAUAAUUACUAAUUUUUGCACUUCUUGUUCAUAGUUUCACCUUGAAGACAUGCUCUCAAAGCACGUGAUCCAUUAAAAAUACUUUGCUGAGAUGGUGCAAGCAAAGCUUUAUUAGUAUAAUAUCUUUAUCUGCAUAGCCAGAAAAGAGAGGGUAAGUUCACACCAUAUAGGAGAGAAAGAUUAAAAGAUAAGUUUUAAAAUACUGUAGUCCUUUGAUAACAAUGUGGAUGGUUAAGCUGGAAUAAUAAUUGUACUUUAACAAAGGCAGAAACUGUUCAAAAACCCAAUGACUGUUAAUUUUUUAACAAGGUUUAGAUCCAGUUCACUGUUACACUGAAACCUGCAUAAGCCUAUACCCCUUUGCAGUCGGACUUGACUCCUUCUUGUGCAAAGGGUGCUUAAAUAGCCAUCAAAUUUAAUUCUUCCCAAGCAAUCUUGAGAAAAUGGGAUAAAGCUGCAAUCCCAACAUUUCCUUCUGCUCUCAAAAGGGCAGUAGUUUUACUGCUUAAAAGCUUUUUUGAGUACUGAAGAGUAUUUUUUUCCUGAACUAUGGGCUCUCGGUACAUUUUUUAAAAAAUACAUACUUUUGCUGUUUAAGAUCCUUGGCGUAUAAAAUUUCACAACUAGAAAUGUAGCUGAAGUGUUUGUUGGUUAUUAAGAUAAUUAAGAGUAUUUGAAAACUUGAAAAAUAAGUGAUUUUACAGAUACCACAUUAGCCCUCUACAGCUCUGGGUCAUAUAUAUGUCAUCUCUGCUAAGUAUUCAUUUCUAAGAUCCUCCCAAGCUCUGCUUUUUUAUCCUCUGAACAUCUGAUGCUUCUUGUUAUUCUUUUAUAACCACAGAUGUGCCCUCUUCAAAAAACUCACAAUCUCACAAUGCUAAACUGACAAGCUGAGUGUCAAACCACACACCCCAAGCAGCCCUGAAGAAAAACAGAAUCACGCUUGAAGCAAAACAGAAUAAAUCACACAAAUUGUUUCCAGAGAAUGAAUCUGAAACAUUGCAAAUUCCGCACAGGCAUUGUUUCCUAAGAAUGCAAAUGACAUUUUUAUGAUCACUUACACUAUAAGCAUAGACUGUUCUCUGAAAGAAGAGAUUAAUUUGAACAACUUUUUAUUUCCUUGUUAAGUUUGUUACGUUUUCUCUCUCUCUGAGCUGAACUGGAGCCUUGCUGUGGGAACGAGCUGGGUCUCCUUUCUGCCGAAAAGCAGCAUGGGUGUGCCGGCUGAGGGUGAGCGAGGCCACUGCACUGGGAGCGUGUGGUUUGUGCAGCUCAGAGCCGCUGUGCACCGCAGCCCUGAGCCUGCCCGGGAGCUGCCUCCUGCCCGGGAGCUGCCUCCUGCCCGGGAGCCUGCCCGGGAGCUGCCUCCUGCCUGGGAGCUGCCUCCUGCCCGGGAGCUGCCUCCUGCCCGGGAGCCAGGCUCUGGGCACAGCGCAGUGCAGCCAUUUGUCCAGCUCUCCAUGGCCAGGCUGUAGCAGGCUCCCACAGCUCUCUCAGCUGUAGUGCCUCUGCAAGCCAUCCCUUCUCCCACAGCCAGGGUCCAUGUGGGACAAGGCUAAGUCCACAAUGCUGUAGUGCUAAGGCAUCAAAUACAUGUAAUUUGGCUUGGCAGUAAUGCCAUAACUUAUCUAAAAGGUUUUAUGAUAUUGUCCUGUAAAGAAUGAAGGGAUAAUUUUCACACUUAGAUACUCAAGACCUGCCAGGUGUUUUCUUAAACUGUUAAGCACACUUCACACUUUACAGCAUGUUAUCUCCUUCUCCCGCCUUCAAAAAUGUCACAGCAUUAAAAAAAUAAAAUAUAAUUUAAAAGUGUAGCUACAAACAUUUACCUAUCUGCAUUGAAGUCAAUAUCUAACUGUAAAUAGGGCUGUUGUAUAGACUUCACUGAAAGAAACUCUUUUUUCUAAUCUGGUGAUUUGAAGGUGAAACACUGACCCGCAGUUCUGGUACUCGAUUGCUGAUGUGUGUAGGAGUAAUGCUGUGUUCUGGAUUACAUAAUUUAUAUCUUAAGGGUUUGAGUCAAAAGUUGGAUUUCUUUUUUUUUUUCCUAGUUCAUCUCUAUCUGAUAACCUUGAAUACAAGACAGAUGAUGCCUGAAGCAAAGCUGAUAAAGUCACCAGGGCUAAGAAGCAUGAGGGAGGGGAGAAUAGAAGCACAACAACAUAGAUACAUAUCUUCACAUCCUUAUUUCCUUUACAAAUGGAGGAAGGAACUUCCCUGAAGGCACGAAUCACCCAACAGAUACAGCAGUACUCCUGUGCAGAGAUGUUUAAGGAUUUUUAUGCAACUUCUUUAAUCAGAAGAGGCAUACUUGGUUGAAAAUGAAACCUCUGCAGGAAAAGGUGUUGGUCCAGUUCCUAAUCAGAACCUACCCUUCAAGCUGUGGCACUUGGUGUUUGAGGCUGUGGAAAGAGGAGGACUCUGGAGGUUGCCUGACUGCUCUCACCUGUGUCUGCUGGAUGCAAGGAACCAAAGUAAGGGAAUUAAGGGAAUUUAGCUGCAGAGCCCUUGAAAGUCUCCACCAAACCUGCAUGAAUUGUGUGUUCACAGCUUGUAGUAGGAGUUGCAGGUUGGACAGAGGUAAAACUCCAAUACUAAACCCAAGAUGUUUGCUACAGGUUUAAUCUCAAUGUCCCAGAGCAAUUAAAGGGCAGCACAGGUACCCAUCACCAACAUGGCAGGGGUCUGGUCUGUGUGCCAGUCCCAAGUCAGUAGCUGAAGCUGGCUGCACAGCAAUUCCCUGGUACAUAGCUCAGCCACUGCUUUGCUCAAGCAAACCCAGUGAUGUUAUCCAGACACCACUCACAGGCAUGCAGGUGCAAGCAUGAGGUAGAGGCAAUUGGCAGGAAAGGAAAAGUCUGUACUCCCUUGUUUGCCCAUGUAUAGGUCUCAUUUCCUUGUCACACACCUUGAGGUGAAGAGGCAAAAGUCCCAUCUCAGAACAGCAGCUUGAGAGGGAUGAGCUCUUUCAGAUGCUUUUUGCCCCCUUGGGAAAAAGCAAUUUUGCAGCUACCCAGCAAACAGAAGUAUGGAGAAGGGAAGAUGUCCCACCCAAGAUGCCAUGAGAGGGAACUGCAGCUUCCUAAGGAGGAGGGCACAGAGCGAGAGUGACAUUUGCCCAGCAUCUCAUUCUCAAAGAUGGCUGAACUACAGUGAGUGCUUGUAAACCCAAGCAAACAGCAACAUGACAGGUCAAGCACUGACAUAAAAGACUUGAACCUGUUUUGCUGACCGUUAACAGGCAAAUGAAGGCAGAGACCACAGCACCAACUCUUAUGCAACAUUUAAACACAGUGUUUCCCAUAUGGUUAUACAGCAAUUGCCAUGAACAACUUCUCUUAGAUCAUAAUGACUGUUAAGUCACCCAAAAUCUUAAAAAAAAAUAAAAAUAAAAAAAAACAAAACACUAAGCAAUUCUGCUUUUUAAAUGCAACAAAAAGAUCAUAAAAGAGGAAUUUGAAAUAAAUACCUGCUACAAAAUAGGAGAGGACUUGUCAAACCCUGCUCUGUGUGUUCUGCUAGUUGUAACAACCCACACCUCAAACCACAGAGCAAUCAAGCAGGGUGUAAUCCCAUUGCAAGGAGGCUUCUGUCACACAAUAACCUUCCCUCUCCACUAAGGCUGGGCUCUGACCAGGAAUGUGUUCAUUCUUCACCCCUGGUUUCUGAGGAUUUACUGUUUUGUUACAGCACUGGGUGUGUCACUUCCAGUUAAAUGCAAUGAAUUUCAGGUUGACCAUAAUCAGGUGUGCAGCUACUUAGUGUGAGUUCUUUCUCCAGGAAGGUUUAAGAGUAGCCCUUAGUGUUAUGUUAGUCCCUGGCCUCGAGGAAGAACAAAGUGAAAAACAGAUGCUGCCAUAAGCACAAAGACCAAAUGUGCUGAGCCACACAGAAUUCAGUGGAAGUACUGAAGAUAAGAGUAACACCCACUGACCCAGCCUUUCCAGCAGCCAGCAGUGACCAGGAAAUGACCCUUUUCCCUCCAGCAGACUGAUCAUUGCCAAAUUUAGUCUGCAGAGACACCCCACCAGCACCAGUGAGACUCUUGUACCAACUAGAUACAAUCCACACAUCAUUGACUGAGUUACAGAGCUGAAACAUGUUCAGUUCUGUUUAGAGCACAGACCACUCAGAUUUACACUAAAUAUGACAUAUUAAAUGUAGGUCAUCCUACAGUCAGGUUCCCAUUCUUUAAUUUCAGUUAGAGUAAGACAAAUCUGUCACAUGUGAGUCAGCUUUGAAAUGCUCUUGGAGCAGUGGGAGUUUGCUAUAGAACUAUGUAAAUACCAAAAAAGAAACUGAAGAUUUGACCUUUGUUUACCCAAGCGAGUCUCAAGUAACCAAAAGGCAUGUCAGAUUUUAAUAGCAUUUCUAGGAUUGAUUCAGCUCUGACAGGCCAACUUCCACAACUUGAUGGCAAGUACAGCACAUCUGUCAGCAGGAAGCCUACACAGAGACUGCAGAGGCACCAGGAACCCGCAACUUACACAAAAUAAACACUUUGGUGCAAAAAUCUGAAACGGGAGCUGUGCCAGCAUGAUAGAAUGCACUGAUUUAUUCAUCUCCUUCACUCUAGUGAGGAGCCCUCCUGCAAAUGUCUCCAUUGCAUCUGGCUCUCCCAGGGGAAUGCCCGGAGGGCUGCAUGAGCAGUGUCAGUCCUCCAGCAGCACCAGUGAUGAGUCAAGCCCUGUCUGCACAAGCGCAUGGGGGCCAGUCAUCAAGGGGGCCAUCUGAAAUUAGCCACAAGCACCAUCAGCACAGGAGCAGUGCUAUCAAGAUGCCCCAUCACAAAUAUAAGCCCAAGACAAAUCCUCAACUAGGGCACUUUUACCUUUAGUCAGUCACAGCUUCAUGGCCGUCUUUGUAAUACCUUGGGCAAAUAUUGACUCACAUCCAACAGACUGAAAAUAUUUGGUUUGCACCAGAUGUGGUGCGUAUGUAUCUUUGAAACAUUAGCUAAAGGAGUGAUUUGGGAAAAUAAAAAUUGUAGGUGGAUGUUUACUUUGCAAGGUUGUUCGCAAUGUGCCCAGAUGCCAGAAGUGCGCGUGGAGGUUUCACCCACAGGAAGAAAGCCGGCUGUAAGUGCCGCGAUGCACAGCCAAACUCUGCGUGCACGUGCAUUCCUGCGCCUGCAGCUCACCACAUGAUAGAGGAAGGGCUGAGGAUCACUGGUGAGACGUUAACGGGUCCAAGUAUUCCUGCUCUGAAGACAACCUGAAAAGGUCUGUUAGCUAUUGAACAAUUACCUAGCGUAUUGCUUCAGGCCACAGCCUCCAAAGUUCUUGGCAUGUAGUGUUGGGGCUGUUUUCUGCAAGAACUUGAGUGCCAUUUCCAUGGCCCACAGCUGACAGCAGCUUUGGAAAUCCAGACACUGUUCCAAGGGAAGGGAAAGUAACUGCCCACUCCUCUCCUAUUUCUCUUUCUCCAGCUAUUUAGAAAUUAGAGUUCCAGUAAAAAACACGCAUUGAAAGCACACAUCUAAGCAGAUAAACACCUUUUGUUAGAAGGCUGAAAGCAAAAGAAAGGUAGUUUGAUUGGUUUAAAUAGUAGAAACAGCCACUCAAUAGCAACAUUAAAUUACUUCAGUUUUCAAUUCUUAGAUCACUCCCUGUCCCGACUGUCAAUUUCUCAUGUGCAUCUACUCUCUCCUGCUAAAAAUCAUCGGUCAGGUGCAGCUUUGGCAGUCACAGAGCUUGCUUAUGGAAACUGGGGGAGGGAGGGAAAACACUUCAGCACCAUUCAGUAACCUAUGGCUAUUCCUACUAUCCAGUAUUUUCAUUUUGGAAAUUGAUGUGCAUUCAUUUUGGGGGCCUUUUAGAAGGAACAAGAGUUCUUGGAAGUAACAAGUUUUCAGAAGGAAAAGAGGUUCUUUUCUGUGUUUACCAAAGUAUAGAAGAAAAGAAAAACCACAGAAUUUUGUUCAGUACAUUUGCAGGAAGAACAGUAUAUUUGAAGGAAAAACACUAGUGAAGUAUUUGUUUGCUGGACCACUCAAGGCCAAACUCAAUUGGUAGAAUAUUGUACAGAACAGAAUUAAUCUUUUGGGACUGGAAAUUCAUAAUAAUGUCAUUUAAUCACCUCUCUUAAAAUAAUUGAAUCGGCAGCACAUCCCAGACAGCUCUUGAGAAGUACAAGAGUUAACAUUUUGCUGAGUCUUUUUUCCACAAGUGAAUCUUUUCAUCAGAUACACAACACCUGACACCUGGGGCUCUUACACCCUCUGAACAGCCAACAGAUUUUGCCCAGAGCAAGAAAAACCAGCAAGCCACAUACUGAUCCACAUAUACACACACCUUUAAUGCAUUGCCUCCCAACCCCACUGGAAAUUCAGGGUGUUGGAACUUUCCUGGUCAUUAAGGACCACUACAGUGCCCAACCCGUCCUUCCAGACAGCUUACCUACAGGCUUACUGUGAAUCUCUGCAGAAAACUAACCCUGAAAACUACUUAGGCACUAAGCUUGCAAUUCAUCUGAUAACACUGAGCUGCAGGAACAUUGCACCUCCCAAAAGGGGAGUUACAAAUUGGUUUCAACAUCAUGAUCAGUUAAACCAGCACUAGGAAAAAGAUGAAUCUUUAGCCAUAUGUUUCCUUGAAAAUAUUCCAAGUUCAUUACCAGAGGCCAAGGCACUUCACAGUAACAUACCACAGGUUCAGUAACUAAUGUUUUUUUUAAAGGAGCCGUAGAAAGACACUUCUCUGUACUCAUAGUAAGGUAGUUAAGCUCAGACCUCAGUGUCACAGCAACAUGCAAAGCCUCCUACUGCAGCAGUAAAUCUGGAAAGGCCAUUUGAGGUUCUCCCUGCCUAGGAAGCUCUUUAGACAUGUUACAGUCAACAUGCCUCUUACCCAGAGGCUUCUGAGCCAUCAUCCCCACCAUCCACUGUCAGGCAAGGAUGUCUCUCCCCAGCUAAUUAACUGACAGUCCAGCAUGCUCUUAGCUCUGUGUGUCUGAGUGAGUUCAGCCUUGAUUUCCCUCCUCCAGAUCGCAGAAUGCAUUUGAGUACUCCAUCUCCCAAGUCAUAUUCCGGUUCUAGUCCCCCUUCAAGGUGUUUGAGGGUCUCCUGUGGAGAAAUCAAAUCCGUCAAGCACCAACCCAUGGAUCUUCAGCCUGACCUUUCUGGCUGUGGCUGCCCAGAGCCUGGAUGUGCCCCAGGCACUUGCUGCACACACAUUUUCUCUCAGUACUGUGGUGGAGUUUCCUCUUACCUCUUUGGCAACCAUUGUUACAACAUAAAACUGAGCACCACUGUUAGAAAGACCUGCAAUUACCCUAUUUUAAAUUUCUCUUUCAAGUUUAUAGGACUGCAAACACUCUCAAGGAGUCUCUAGCAGGUAUCUGUAUGCCAGGGACACCUGGACUUAAACACAAUCUCAUCUGGCCCAUGACUUUCUUAUACUGAUGGCAUCUUCCCUGCUCCCUCUGCUCCUCUGCCCUGGCCAGCCUAUACACAGGGGCACUUUAGUUUAUUUCUAACAGAAGUGAGUUUCAGUCCUCAGGACAUCAUAUAAAAUUAAGUCAGAUUGUCAGUCCCUUGAACAAGACUUUGUCAGAGCUAACAAUGAAACCCUGCUAAUUGACAGAUGAGGAAUUGGACUCAUUUACACUUAAGCUGACUAACUAUUUUGUUAUAUUGUAGAAAACAUAAAAACCUCUCAGAAGCAUGGCUGGCCAGCUGUGGUGUUAAGGUGAUAGAGAUUUUGUCACAUCCCUGGCUACUGUGGGCUGUGCUAAAAGGGCACUUCAGCUCCUUUAGCCCAUAAACCUGAUUUCAGUUACCACUCUUUAUUGUCAAUAUAGUAAGAGCAGCUCGCUGGAAUAAAGGGAUUGAAGAAAUAGGAAACAGAGCACCCAAACCAUGGGCCAGGAGCAGGGCUGCACCAUCACAGGCCUGUGUUUGCCAUGUGCUGGCCUGCCUGGGGGCCCAUAUGCAGGAGCCAGCUCUUGGCAAGAUUGACUGCCACCAGCUCUACACAUGGGUGACACUCCCCUCCUCACAUCAUGGGGGGGCCAGGAAAACGCACAGCCCUGAGUCACCCCCCAGCAGCAGCAGAGAACAGGCACAGCAAUGCCUGCAGCCCAGACAGAGAAAAAGAAGCAUUUUUUUGGGUAGAAAGCAAGGCCUGGUGUUUUUUGGCUUCUACGUUGGCGAGGAAAAUGAAGCACGAGGAAACAAUUUUCAUUGUUGACAGGUUUUUCUACCCUUUUUGCCCUCCCUGUAAAACAAAACCCUCCAGAGCUUCAGGACUGCAAGGUCUCUGGCCAAGAGGCACUGGUACCACCACUGGAGACUGAUUCAUAUGCCAGUACUUGUGCUCUCAGGGAGCUUCAGUGAUUGUCAGCUGAAUUCCCACCACACAGCUAACAGGAAGGGGGACUUGAGAGAGGGCAAUAACAUUAACAUGGGAGACUUUCACCAGUACUCACUAGCAGUACCAACAGGCAUCCUCACUGUAACGCACGCUGCACAUCCAGUCAUGCUGCUUAACUGCAGCAUUUACCCUGAUUCAGAUGAACAGUGGCAGAACCCAGCUCAGCCAGUGCAGUUGUUUUUUUGUGUUACUCUUUACUGUAUAGGACCCAUAGGAUCCAACAGUUUCUGGCUGAGAACCACACCUCCUUAUACUUGCAUUUUGUAGAGAGCAUCUUCACUCUCCAGCCACUGCUGGGAUCUAAAAUCCAGGAGUCUUUAACCUUGUCAAACCAUCAAUAUAAAGGCUGUGGCAGCCUUCUCCAACAUACAGACAUUCACAAAAAAAAUUGCUCAAACAUGAGAUUUCAGCAACCAAACAUGCAGAGGAACAAAACCGACAUCCAAAUGGCAAGUGGAAAGAGCCACAGUUAAAAACUAAACCACAGCAGUCUCAGAAGAGAGAAGUAACAGUCAAGCAUCUCCCCUUCUGCAAUUAUUUGGUGCCUAGCAGUUUGAGGCACUUCACACUUAAGCAGGCACAUGCUCUUCCAUGGCUCCAUGUCUUCCUGGAGUAUGAUGAGUGAUGUGAAAGGUUUCAGACAGAUGUAUUUAGAAUUUAGGGGAAACUAAGAGAGGACAGAGCUCACCCCACUUGCAUAAAACCCCUUCCUCCCAUAAAUGCAACCGUUCUUUUCCAUCCUUGCAAAGGUCUGUGACGCAACUUGGGCUGAGGAAACUGGGAAGGAAGCACCCGCUGGAAGAUCACCCCCCCUCGCCUGGGAUGAAGGGAGAGGUGGCAAACGGCCUCACCACCUCAACUGGCCACAGAAAUCAAUCCAAAGAUUGCCAAAUGCCUGUAGGGAACAACAGCAGUGAGCCCUGCCAGAGCCAGGCCCAGCUGACAAAUGAGCAGGCAGAGAGCAAGGCUACCUGGCUUAGUAGAGGAGCUCACAAGCAAAACACCUCAGCCAUGGUGGAAAUAUCACACAGGAAGGAGACUCUUCUCCAUUGUCAUUAAUGUUAAUUUAAGCUACUGAAAACACAAAUAAUUCCAAAACCAACUGACAACAGAUAUAUAGAGUACACAGCAGAGCUCAGCAAAGGUCAGGCCCCUGCAGCACAAAGCCCAGCACAAGCACACAGGAAGACCCAGCUCUUUGCUCUCAGAGCUUGAGGUGACAGCACCCUGACUCACACUCACUAUUACUCAGUGUUAGCAAGAGCAUCCUGGUCCAGAAGGUCCAAGCUCCCUGACUGCAGGUUUGCAAUAAGUGAUGUCUACCUGCAACCAUCAUUCCUGCAGCACCUCAAAGAGUUAGAACAGUUACAUAAAGAGGAUCAAGAAUAUUUUUCACCCAUUCCUUUUUUGGAUCUCACCCUCCUGCCUGUCCAUGUUGCUGUGUUUCAGGGAGGCAAAGGGCAAUAGCAGAGCUAGAGCUGACAAGUCUGUGAAAUUGGGAAUUUAGCAACAUAAGGUAGGCAACAGGCAACAUAAAUUCCCUUGGCUUAAAUCAGUUAAAGUUAAUUGCUAGAAGGAGUCCUUGGAAGCAGUUUAGACCAAAGUAAUGUCUAUUCUUUUCUGGCUGACCACAUAAUAAAAUACUAUUAAUUUGUUGUGGCUCUUCACUUCAACACUUAAAAUUUCUUAUAAGAAAUACUAAGAACACUGGAAGUUAGCUUCUUAUCUUUUGCAAUGCUCUUUUUCCCCUUUGAAUUCAUCCCUUGAGUCUAUCAGUGAGCUUUGGAAAUGUAUUAUUAAUAGGGGGAAAACAAAGUGUAAAACAUAAGUAAUGUAUCAUAAUGAACUGUCUGUCACCUCAGAGGAUUAUAAUUUCCCUUUAAUGCCAGCUGGCCCUAUUACAGUACUUCAGUCAAUGGAAUAUCUUGGCCAUUUUCAACACCUGCGGUGCUGCACUCCUGCCAGCCAGUGCCAGCGCGGUGGCGGAGCAGCCACCUCUGAGCCGUGUGCCACACAGGAGCUGGCAGCACAAGCCAGCAGCUGACUGAGCAGAGGAGCCCAGCACUGCUGCAGCAACUGCCAGUGCCUAUGGACACUGAGUCUGAGUGAGUGGGGUGGAUGCACCCCAUGCACUGUAGUACCCAGCUGGCUGGGGGAUCCCACAUGUGUCAGAAAAUUGGCUGCACAGUAUUAAAAGAAAAUAAUUUCAAUACCUGUUACAUUAUUUUCCUUAUAUUUUUGCCUUAUUCAAUAUUCUUUUGUCAUGUCACCUCUACUAAAAAGAAAAAAAAAAAGAAAAAAAAAGGAGAUGAGAAGCAGCAUGUUAGAACAAGCACAUAAAAAUUAUUUUCUUUCAACUUAUUCGAAAGCUUUAUCACAUGUUCCAGGUAAAUCCGUUAGGCAACAUUAUUCCAACAAGGUGUGGCCAGCAUUGUUAUAAUGUAUGAAACAUUUCCUUCAGAUUUAUGUGGUCUAGCUUUACAGUCCAUAUGUUGUGCAUAUCACAAACUAGUGUGAGAUAGACUCAAGAAAUGUUCUGAGACUCAUGUGUUGGGAUUUUUUCAUUUUUCUUCCCCCAAUAAAGAAGUCAUGGACAAAACUAGAUACUCAUAUCCAAUCCACAUUCAGAUGUAUUUGCAGCUUUAGAUGCACAAAUACCUUUAAAAUCUGGUUCCAUCAUUUUACAUGCCUUGUAAUGCAUAACAGAUAUUUACAUGCCUGAAAUCUAUUUAGACUGCUUUAUUACUCAGAGGAAAAAAUACUGGAAACUACCACUAGCCUACUGACAAUUAAAAAAAAAAUUACCCUUGGCAUUCUCAGAAGCCACCUCCGCUGCAGGUGAAAAUAGACAGGAUGUGGCUUGGCAAUGGAGUAAGGUCUAAGAUUCAGUAGGGAAAAUCUCUGGAAUUUUAACUCUGAGCAGGCAUCUAGUAAGGUCUCUGUUAGAGACACACUCCAUUGAUUUACAUGCAUAUUUCAGUGCUUUUCUAAAUCAGAAUUUCCUCAAAGGGCUGUUUGCUGAGCUAUGUUUCACUAUUUAGAGUAAGACCCAAAUCUUACAGAGUAAAGGUAAAAUCCCUUCCUGAUGUGAACUGGGGUUAUGCUGGAGAUGAAUUUGAUACAACUGACCUGUUUGGUUUGUCUCUCUUACGGGUGGAAAAUGCAGAGGCUUGAGGAGCACACCUUUGCCAAUGUGCAACAGCAGCACAGCUUGCAAGCAGAAUUGCAUGGGUCUCGCAAUCUUUCACCCAAGGCUUGUUCUAGAAACUUCUUCCUCCCUCCCUCCUUUAACUGCAACAAAUGUUUUGCUUGAGGAAGGAGCAAGACCCAGAAGAGCUGCUCUCUAACUUGUGUUGCAAUAUCCAAUCUGAGUGUUACUAUCAGCUUUUGGAAACUGACUGUAUAGAAAACACAGAUGAUGUUUGCAUAUUUUAAUUUUAAACAUCUCUGCUUGGCAUAGGGAUGGAACCUAAUAAGGCACUUUGUUUCUGCCUCAUGAAUUAAUUCAGCCUGCUAACUGAUUUGGAUAAAGCAUUUUGAUUCCAACUAAUAAAUUUAUUUUCUGUGCAACCAAAA